CCGGAAGGAGUUAAAUUCUUUAUGAUUUUGAGUUGAGGCUGGUGAAGAAGAGCAGAAGGAUCUUCUGACUGGACCUGAGACCCUGUUCCUUUUAGAGUGACAGGUGUUCCAGAGCACCAAAGACACAGCCUGCUCUCCCCUCCUGACACAGAAUUGAUGGACUCGGGGCACAGAAGAAGACACAUUUUUGGACAUGACCAGUGGGAGAGGUAACGCACCUCAGAAAGGAUGUUGGCGAGCAGGUUACCUGGAGGAGGCCAACUGAAAACCAUAUGAGAAUCAAAGGAAGGAAACAGGCAUGUUUACCUUGGAGAAGAAAGGAUUCAGCAUUUGGGAUUUGGGGGAGCAGAGGGACAGGAUUGCUGUUUUCAAGUAUUGAAGAGAUAUCAUGUAAAAGAUCCUGCUUGGACCUGCAAGUAGAACUGGGAGUAAUGGAGGGAGUUGGAAGUUUUGGCAGGGGAAAUGAAGGCAAGUAGGAAACAGAUUUAGGUUUGCUAUAAGGAAAGACUUCCUAAAAGUUAAUUUGUUUAAAAGGUAGAAUUGAAUUUUUCCAAUUCUAACGAGUUUCCUAUGACUGGAAGAUUCCCAUUAGGAGCGCAAGAAUCAUAUAUUGGUGAUUUUCCUGAAGCCUGAGUCUAGGUGGUGUUCCCCUCCGCUAUAAUCUCUGGGAGUUCCCUGUCACCUAGGGUCAGAUAGAAAUCCCUCUGGCCUUGAACUGUGCCCAACCUGACAGCAACCUUCCACACAUUACUAGCCUUCACACUUUCUAAGGUAAAACUGCACUGGCCUUCUUACUCAUACAUGGCACUUAUUCAUAAAUAUAUCUCCCCCCCCCCCAUAGUCUUGCACUGGCAGUCCCCUUAUGCCUAGAAGGCCCUUUCCUUACUUCUUCCUCUUAGAAGUCCAGGUUUCCUUCAAGAUACAAUUCAAAUGCCAUCUCCUACAGGAAACCUGUCUUCAUUUUCCCAGAUCUUUGGCUCCUCCAAAUUACCUUGAAUCUAUUUUGUUUGUGUAUGAAAUCUGGCUUCAGAUACUUACUAACUGUAUUACCCUGGGCAAGUCACUUAACCCUCUUUGUCUCAGUUUCUUCAUCUGUAAAAUAAGCUGAAGAAAGAAAUAGCAUUGGUUCCCAGGGCAUGACAAAUUCCUUCGGGCACUAGGCAACACUAAGACUGUAAGUUGGAGAGAAAAUGCCUGUUUGCCAGAGUUUCUUUCUUAUUCAAUAAAACCCAAGUCUAGCAGCACCCCCCCUCUUUCUCUCUUUCCCAAAGCCUAGUCCAGUUCUGGACAUAUACCCUACUGUUAGGUACUUCACAAAUGCUUUAUUAGAUUGAAUUUGCUACCACAAGGCAGGACCAGCUGCCAUUAAGAAUGUGGCCAUUGGGCACCAGCCCUCACAGCUUGGGGAUGUUGAAUAGGGUCAAUCCCAAAGAUGUCUGUUUCUGAAAGUUCUAGGUGAGGUACAAGAUGGAGAAAACUGCCUUCUAGAAGUUAACUCCCAAGUCACUGAAAAGCUGCCCCAUGCAACUUAGCGACUUGCAGUUUGGCUGAAGCUUUAUCAGGGUCAGGUCCCUGCGGAGUCCCGGGAUACCCAGGUCCACCCAGGAAGUAACUCCACAAAUACAGGCUUCAGAAAGUUGCUUUGGAGAGACCCAUUAUGUCUUCCUCCAUUCCUCCAUCCCAAGUUCUCUGAAUCCUGGCAAAUAAUCACAGUAUUCUCUAUACAACUGGCUCUGAAUGCAUUUCGAGGCCUUCACAGACUAGACCUGCCCAUCUUGGCAGCUUUACUCUGCAUCCAUUCCCUUCCUGUAUUCUAUAGUCCAUGUCCCUUUAAAAAAACUAGAGAUAUUUUCUUUCUUUUUUCUGAUCAUAUAAAACCCACUUCAAUAAUUGGUCAUUGUUGUAAGAACACACUCAUACAAAAUCUGAAUCCCAAAAUAAAACCAUAAAUGCACAGAUGUGAAAGAUAGUAUGCUUUGAUCCAUAUCCAUCCGACUUUGAUAGUUCCUUCUCUGGAGGUGAACUGUACUGUUUCUGAGAAGAACAAUUAGAGAGAGCAUAAUAUUUUGGAAAGCAUUCUGGGGCUUGUCAGGAAACAGUUGGGUUCCAGUUCUGGACCUUGGGCUAGUCCCUAUACUGACCCACCUCAGUUUCCCCAACUGUAAAAUAUGGAUAAUAUUGGUGUUUCCUCCCUAAAAGAGUUAUAUAGAAAAAUAAAGUAUUUAAUAAAUAUUAAGUGGGAAUUAUUUGCUAGGAGUCAGGAGACCUGGGUUCAAUAUAAUCAGUCAAUCAAUAGACAUCUAUGAUAUACCUUCUUUAUGCUAAGUACUAUGCCAGAUGCUAGGGACACAAAAACAACAAUGGAACAAUCUCCCCCCUUGAGGACCCUGCAUUCUAUCAGGAGAGGCUCAUCUUUAACCAGUGUUUCUACUCUGCUAUUGCCCUUCCCCUUCUGACCUAACUACUUAAUAAUCCCACUUUCUUCUUCAUCUAAUUUUGUUAGCUAUAACCUUCAUUUCUUUUUAUUUAUUUCUUUUUAAUUUUUAUUUGGUCAUUUCCAAACAUUAUUCAUUGGAAACAAAGAUCAUUUUCUUUUCUUCCCUCCCCCCUCCCACCACCUCUCCCAUAGCCCACGUGCAAUUCCAUUGGGUAUCACAUUUGUUCUUUAUUCAAACCCAUUUCCAUGUUGUUGGUAUUUGCAUUAGUUUUCAUUUAGAGUCUCUCCUCAGUCAUAUCCCCUCAACCCCUGUAGUCAAGCAGUUGCUUUUCAUCGGUGUUUUUACUCCCACAGUUUUUCCUCUGCUUGUGGAUAGUGUUUUUUAGAUCCCUGCAGAUUGUUCAGGGACAUCGCAUUGUUCGUAAUGGAGAAGUCCAUUACCUUCGAUUGUGCCACAGUGUAUCAGUCUCUGUGUACAAUGUUUUCCUGGUUCUGCUCCUUUCACUCUGCAUCACUUCCUGGAGGUUGUUCCAGUCUCCAUGGAAUUCCUCCACUUUAUUAUUCCUUUUAGCACAAUAGUAUUCCAUCACCAACAUAUACCACAAUUUGCUCAGCCAUUCCCCAAUUGAAGGGCAUCCCCUCAUUUUCCAAUUUUUGGCCACCACAAAGAGCGCAGCUAUGAAUAUUCUUGUACAUGUCUUUUUCCUUAUUAUCUCUUUGGGGUACAAACCCAGCAGUGCUAUGGCUGGAUCAAAGGGCAGACAGUCUUUUAUUGCCCUUUGGGCAUAGUUCCAAAUUGCCCUCCAGAAUGGUUGGAUCAAUUCACAACUCCACCAGCAAUGAAUUAGUGUCCCCACUUUGCCACAUCCCCUCCAGCAUUCAUUACUUUCCAUAACUGUCAUGUUAGCCAAUCUACUAGGUGUGAGGUGAUACCUCAGAGUUUUGAUUUGCAUCUCUCUGAUUAUAAGAGAUGUAGAGCACUUUUUCAUGUGCUUAUUAAUAGUUUUGAUUUCUUUGGCUGAGAACUGCCUGUUCAUGUCCCUUGCCCAUUUAUCAAUUGGAGAAUGGCUUGAUUUUUUUGUACAAUUGAUUUAGCUCUUUGUAAAUUUGAGUAAUUAAACCUUUGUCAGAGGUUUUUAUGAAGAUUGCUUCCCAAUUUGUUGCUUUCCUUCUGAUUUUAGUUACAUUGGUUUUGUUUGUACAAAAACUUUUUAAUUUGAUGUAGUCAAAAUUAUUUAUUUUACAUUUUGUGACUCUUUCUAAGUCUUGCUUGGUUUUAAAAUCUUUCCCUUCCCAAUAUAACCUUCAUUUCUAAAUAUGUCCCCCCACCACUUCACUACCCAGGGAGCCAUUUCUGUUAACUCAAGAGUGUUGUGAAGCUCAAAGUUGAUAUUUGCAAAACACUUUACAAACCUCAAAGCACUAUGGAAAUGCCAAUUAUUGUUAUUGUUCUUAUUAGUCUCCAGUUACUAGGUCUCCAGUCUGAUCAUGACUUCAUUCCUUGAGCCUUCUACUACAUUCCUGCUGAGCUCAAUGUUUAUUGAGUAAUACUGGGAUAUGUUAGUAAAUGUUUAACAGCCAAGCUGGAGGAGGGGAAGAAAUGUAUGUAGAAGGCAUUAUUAUUAAGUUCAAUCUGCAUUAUUAACCCUUAAAUCUAGACAAUGAACAAAACAAAUCCAAUUCUGAUUUGUAGUGACUGUCAAUUUCUGAAAUGUAAAUGCUUGCACUCAAAAUAUUCAAGAACUGAGCUGAAAGCAGGUUAGAGCUGGCUCCAGCACACCCCCAGGAUAAACAAAACUAGGGAUUUGCAAUGGGGUUGGGUGGGGGGGAGGG
Long non-coding RNA from Monodelphis domestica (gray short-tailed opossum), 4270 nucleotides. RefSeq lists it as uncharacterized. The record is from RefSeq and is a predicted model, not a curated record. NCBI's taxonomy places the organism in Eukaryota, Metazoa, Chordata, Mammalia, Didelphimorphia, Didelphidae.